AGCGCUGUGUCUGACGUCACUUCCGUCGCAUUUCGGGGCGGUACCAAGAUGGACUCUUCGCGGGCCCGGCAGCAGCUCCGACGGCGAUUCCUCCUCCUGCCGGACGCCGAGGCCCAGCUGGACCGCGAGGGUGACACCGGGCCGGAAACCUCUGGAGCUGUUGAGAAAAAGGAGAAACCUCUUCCAAGACUUAAUAUCCAUUCUGGAUUCUGGAUUUUGGCAUCCAUUGUUGUGACCUAUUAUGUUGACUUCUUUAAAACCCUUAAAGAAAACUUCCACACUAGCAGCUGGUUUCUCUGUGGCAGUGCCUUGUUGCUUGUCAGUUUAUCAAUUGCAUUUUACUGCAUAGUCUACCUGGAAUGGUAUUGUGGAAUUGGAGAAUAUGAUGUCAAGUAUCCAGCCUUGAUACCCAUUACCACUGCCUCCUUUAUUGCAGCAGGAAUUUGUACAUAUAGAAAAGUGGAAAAAACUGAAAUGAAUGAAUUGGUGAAUGAAUUCUCAUGAAGUGAGCAUUGGUGUAAGCUGAGCCAGCACACUGGGAACCCCCUUCAUUCUCCCUCCCAGUUACUACACCUUCCCUCCUGCCACAGCUUCAACAUUGCUUUAUGGCAUGUGUGGUCGUUUUUCACUCCAUUGUUGUUGUUUACCCAGUUUAUGGGGGUUGUCAUGUUUAUCACACUCCUUGGAUGAUUUCCGAAGAGACAGGGUCUUCUAUGUUGCCCAGGCUGUCUUUGAACUCCUGGGAUCAAGUGAUCCUCCUGCCUCAGCCUUCGAAGUAGUUGGGACUACAGGCCCACGCCACCGUGCCUGGCUGGACAUGUAAAUUUGAAGUGAGUGGUUAAACAUCCAGGUAGCUGAAAGCAUGGCAGACCCUAACAGAAAAGCUACAGUGUGUUUUUGCAACUACGAAGUGAAUGGUUUCCUGGGAAAAAUUGUGACUUUGUAUAACUGUUGUUGAAACCAGAAUAAAUUAUAUUUCACUUGCAUAUGCUUAAAUUAUUAAAAUUAUCAGAAGUCAGUGAUACAGAAAUACUAUUUUGCAAUGUUAAUCUGUUUGAGUCUUUGGAGAAAGUGGUUUCAUUAUAGGUACAUAGUGCACUGUUAAUAUUUUAAACAAAUAGUUCACUCUUCCAUUUAAGGGAUAGCAGUUCCUUGUAUAAAAUGACUUGAUGUGUAUAAAGGAAUUAUGUUGUCAUGUGCCUUUAACCAGCUUUAGUAGUUACUAUAAUCUCAUAUUUAUGAUAGUUUUGUUAGGUGACAGGACCAAAUGAAAAUAUUUUAUGUUUUCUCAUCACUUUAGAUUUUAUCAUUAUGUACAUUCCUGGGUUUUUAGCAUUUCCUAAUGUGAAGUUUUAAUCACUUUUAAGCAUACAUUUUUUUCUGUAUCAUUUAAAUAAAAUAUUUUUAUAACUUU
This is an RNA transcript of Gorilla gorilla gorilla (western lowland gorilla), 1414 nucleotides long. It is a transcript of the gene named transmembrane protein 128, with no coding region annotated. The record is from RefSeq and is a predicted model, not a curated record. The transcript has 6 exons. Lineage: Eukaryota; Metazoa; Chordata; Mammalia; Primates; Hominidae.